AGGGAUGGGGAAGGCAGAGGAAGGUUCCUGCUGGAAAAGGCUUGGAGAAUCCACUCUGGGAUGGCUUUGGCUUGGCCCUGCAGAGCAGCUCCAGUCUCCCUUGGCUUUGUGCUGACUUUAACCUUAAACUGCUCCUUGUCCCAAGCUUUGAGGACCCCCACAGUCAGAUCCAGCUCCUGCUCUGCCCCAGAGGUUCGUGCUGUUCCUCCAGACCAGGACAGAGAGCUGGACAGGCUGGGACUGG
Passer domesticus (house sparrow) is the source of this 244-nucleotide long non-coding RNA. RefSeq lists it as uncharacterized. The record is from RefSeq and is a predicted model, not a curated record. The transcript is spliced from 3 exons. Lineage: Eukaryota; Metazoa; Chordata; Aves; Passeriformes; Passeridae.